GAAUUGUUCGCAAUGGGCGCAAGCCUGACGACGCAACGCCGCGUGGAGGAUGAAGGUCUUCGGAUCGUAAACUCCUGUUGCCCGGGACGAAACGCUCCGACCUAACACGUCGGCGCCUGACGGUACCCGGCGGGGAAGCCCCGGCUAACUCUGCGCCAGCAGCCGCGGUAAUACAGAGGGGGCAAGCGUUGUUCGGAAUUACUGGGGGUAACGGGCGCGUAGGCGGCCUGUUAAGUCGGACGUGAAAUCCCCGGGCUCAACCCGGGAACUGCGUCCGAGACUGGCAGGCUUGAAUCCGGGAGAGGGAUGUGGAAUUCCAGGUGUAGCGGUGAAAUGCGUAGAUAUCUGGAGGAACACCGGUGGCGAAGGCGGCAUCCUGGACCGGCAUUGACGCUGAGGCGCGAAAGCCAGGGGAGCAAACGGG
This 424-nucleotide ribosomal RNA is filed under the name uncultured bacterium. RNAcentral's name for it is "bacterial SSU rRNA". It matches the Rfam family "Bacterial small subunit ribosomal RNA", at positions 359 to 776 of the family's 1533-position model. The record is from RNAcentral.